ACAGUAAGAUCAUAGCUUCAGGACCUAAGUAGCUCCUGGGGAUGGGAAAGAGAUGACUGACUGAGGUGGUUGAUGGGAUUCUUACAGGUAAGUCAAAUGGGUUUUUUCACUUGCAUCACCUUGGGGACCCAUUCAGCAGUGCCGUUGGUGGAGGCUGAGAGACCAGGUCCUCUAAAAUUGUGACACCUGCUCUCUUUGAAAAUGAGGCACUCUCUCAGUUUAAAUAUUUUGUUAAUGUUUUUCCCCUACAAUUCCCUUCAAUUAAAAGAUGAUGUAUGGCAUUCAUGGGAUAAAUGAAGUUGAUGCAUUGUGAGCAUUUCGUGACCUCUCACACCCUGAGGGGUCCAAGUGGGGCUGGAAGUCUGCAGGGAGGCAUACCUUUAUUCAGGGCUGAGUCAUGUUGUUUGCAAGGGCCCUAGAGCCAAGUGUGUUGAAGACACAGACACCUGAGGGGCACUAGCUCCGCAGACACCUGGACUUGCCGGUGGAUCUUUCAGAGGAGGAGCUAGGCAGGGUUCUUUCCUUCCAAAUGAAGUAAAAGCAUGAAAAAGAAGAAAGGGAAGUGUCUGCUUCUGGACACUAGUGAUAAAAUUGGUUUGAGGGUGUUGCUACUUGGAAAUACCAAGACAUCCAGGCACCUGCUCUCACCUGCUGUGCCCUGUGUCUUCUGUUUUUUUUUGCAGACAGAGCAGCUUUAUCUGAAUCUGGCCUUGUCAAGUGAUUAGAUCACGUAUUUAGUUUUUGUCUCAUCAAUUGAUGAUAAACUUGAAGAAGGCAGAGGGGUGUGUGUGUGUGUGUGUGUGUGUGUGCAUGUGUGUGUGUGUGUGCAUGCCCGUACAUGGUGUGUUUAUUUCCUGCAGUCUCUAGGACAGCAACAGUGACUUUGCCAUUUCAUUUGUUGAAGUGGCCUAAAAUAUGAUAUAUGGAAAAGUGGAAGAGACCCAUAAUCCUCUUUCACUUUUGAAGUGAUUUAUGCGUUACAACACUAGAUUGCAGAGCGGGCUAGAAUUAGAAAUGGAUAGAUUUUUGGGUAAAAUACAUAUCUUGAACAGAGUUUUUAUGCUGUAUAUAUACACAAAGAGAUAUCUAUAGAAAAAGACAGAGAGAAAAUAGAUGCAAAUAGAUAAAAUUAUGUAUAAGUAACAUUUACCACAAGUAUGUUUAACUAUUUCACACACAAAAAUGAACACAAUCACAGAAAAUAGGAGAGACCUUAAGAAAAUACAGUAUCAUCUAAAAGCUGUCCCUUUUGUUGGAGGAAGUGGAAAAGUACAGCUCCUUUUUCUUCGCAGUGUGCCCUUGAGGAAGGACAAUGAAUUUCUCCUUGUCUUCCUCUAUAUGAUACAAUGCACUGCCUUCAGUCUCUGUGAUACAGAUUUUAUAUUCAUAGAAUCUUCAAUUUUAAUGCUGUUAUCUUUUCACCUUGCAGAGCUAAUAGGAGUUAAUACUAUAUCCCAGGUAUAACUAUACCUCUCUCUAAUACCUGUAUCCCUAGAGAGGAGUGUGUCCACUAUGAAUAUUUAAAGGGUUGAAUCGUAUUUUUUAAUGCUUAAGAAGAUCUUGUCUCAGAGUAUUCAUUUAUGAAUCUUUUGGAAAAAUGAAUGAUUAGUUAUUGAAUUAUUACUUAAAUAUGGAUUUGUAUGUACUGGGUUUAUUCGUAAAUCAUUCAAAUAUAUAAGAUAGUCCUGCAAGUUGAAACUCUAGUAGGAUUUUACAAGAUCAGGAUGAUCUUGUUAAAAAAAAGUCACGAAAAGUCACCAAGAGUGAAAGGUGACUCCAAGCAAUAAUGUAUCUAGACAUGGAAAUAUUUCAAAAGUCUUAUUUCACCUAUUCCUUAAUACCAGUGCAAUAAGGAGAGGUGGUUAAUGCUCCUUUCAUAUUCAGUUAAUUCUGCAGGACCGUGCUAUAGGUUGAAUAAUUAGAAAAUCCCUUUAACUACUGGGAAGUGAGGAGCGCCUCUGCCCGGCCACCACCCCGUCUGGGAGGUGUGCCCAACAGCUCAUUGAGAACGGGCCAGGAUGACAAUGGCGGCUUUGUGGAAUAGAAAGGCGGGAAAGGUGGGGAAAAGAUUGAGAAAUCGGAUGGUUGCCGUGUCUGUGUAGAAAGAAGUAGACAUGGGAGACUUUUCAUUUUGUUCUGCACUAAGAAAAAUUCUUCUGCCUUGGGAUCCUGUUGAUCUGUGACCUUACCCCCAACCCUGUGCUCUCUGAAACAUGUGCUGUGUCCACUCAGGGUUAAAUGGAUUAAGGGCGGUGCAAGAUGUGCUUUGUUAAACAGAUGCUUGAAGGCAGCAUGCUCGUUAAGAGUCAUCACCAAUCCCUAAUCUCAAGUAAUCAGGGACACAAACACUGCGGAAGGCCGCAGGGUCCUCUGCCUAGGAAAACCAGAGACCUUUGUUCACUUGUUUAUCUGCUGACCUUCCCUCCACUAUUGUCCCAUGACCCUGCCAAAUCCCCCUCUGUGAGAAACACCCAAGAAUUAUCAAUAAAAAAAUAAAUUUAAAAAAAAAAAAAAAAAAA
Molecule: long non-coding RNA, 2519 nt
Filed under: Homo sapiens (human)
Lineage: Eukaryota; Metazoa; Chordata; Mammalia; Primates; Hominidae
Description: non-protein coding lnc-KMO-1:8
Source: RNAcentral